This 83-nucleotide transfer RNA is filed under the name Spirochaetota bacterium. RNAcentral's name for it is "Spirochaetes bacterium (activated sludge metagenome) tRNA-Leu". It matches the Rfam family "tRNA". Rfam says of the family: Transfer RNA (tRNA) molecules are approximately 80 nucleotides in length. Their secondary structure includes four short double-helical elements and three loops (D, anti-codon, and T loops). The record is from RNAcentral. Lineage: Bacteria; Pseudomonadati; Spirochaetota.
GCCGCAGUGGCGGAAUGGUAGACGCAGCAGAUUCAAAAUCUGCCGUGGGCAACCACGUGGGGGUUCAAGUCCCUUCUGCGGUA